RNAcentral lists this transfer RNA (72 nucleotides) under Bos taurus (domestic cattle). It matches the Rfam family "tRNA". From Rfam's summary of the family: Transfer RNA (tRNA) molecules are approximately 80 nucleotides in length. Lineage: Eukaryota; Metazoa; Chordata; Mammalia; Artiodactyla; Bovidae. RNAcentral also lists the same sequence under 4 other names. The record is from Rfam by way of RNAcentral.
CCCCUGCUGGCUCAGAUGGUAAAGAAUCUGCCUGCAAUGCAGGAGACCCAGGUUCGAUCCCUGGGUUGGGAA